Molecule: long non-coding RNA, 1347 nt
Filed under: Dromaius novaehollandiae (emu)
Lineage: Eukaryota; Metazoa; Chordata; Aves; Casuariiformes; Dromaiidae
Description: lncRNA (ENSDNVG00000010171.1)
Source: RNAcentral
UGGUAAGAUUAUCUUUGCAUGAAGAAUUAGAAAAAACGUGCUGAUAAACUCAAAGAAAACCCUAACCUGUUUUAAGAACAGAGCAGCAGGACUGUCCACCCCCUGCCUCAGGAACACCACUGCUGCAGAGGGAGGAGAGCUGCGCGACCCAAGGAAAGCGAGGGGCACGCGGGGAGCAGCACCGCCAGCCUUCACCCAGGCGCUGCCUCCGUGUCCGGACGCGGAGGGACCUUCCGCGCGCGCAGGCUUCGGCAAGACAAACCCUAGUGAGGGAGGGAGCAGAGGCCAAGCUGAUUCACGUGAGACACAGAACCGCCAAUGCAACUUUAUUUUGUAUUUCAUGCAGGCUGCAUCCUCCCCCUGUUUUACAGCGUUAAAGAGCAGAGAUAACGRGUGACGCGGGUAAGGCUCACUCUUGUCAGGCAGAGCAGCGCUCUGGUUCGGUCACRUGUUACCAGGCAAAUAAAGUAAAUGACAGGGAAUAAAUCCAGAAAUCAAUUUACCAGGGAUAYUAUUGCACAAGGCAGCUCCAUUUUAAGCUCCUCAGGGGAUCAAAUGAGUUGAUUACUCACAAGAAAGAGUAUUGGGAGACAACCGUGCGGAAAGUGUGAUUUGUGGGAAUGUAUUUUCAAAUUAAAAGAAAGGUGCGCUUGAAUCCCCCAGGCCGGCUCUCCCCAGCGUGGUUAUUUAUCCAACAGCUGAACUGGGCCSCUGGGGAGCCCUAAGGGAGCAGCCUGCUUGAUUUAUACGUGCAAACCUCGGCAGCAAUGCAACACUUCAUGACUUUCUAAGGUUCCUGGUGCUGGUGUUGCAACACGUCUCGUGCACACAGGACACCUGCGGCGUGAGAAACGGCCUCCCAGCCGGGGCUGAACAGAAGACAAAAGCUACCAAAGAAUGAAAUAUGGCCUAACAUGGCAAAUACGUAGUAGUGAAUUUCCUCUUGCUCAGCUGAGCUGGAAUUCAAGAAUUCAAUCCUGUUCAGAAACCUUGGGUUUGGGUCAAGGUAGYAAGGCUUCCUGCAUAUUUCCAGGUAACAUCAGAUCACCCUCACCUCAGGCGUCAACACUCCUUCUUGCCACACUUGUAUUUGAGCAUGGAGAAAAAAUGAGCCGUAGUCAGAAGAUGAUGUUUGACUUAAUGGCUAAAACACAUCUGUGGGAASCAGAAGGCUGUGAUGCAUCUGCUUGGAGCCAAGCGUAUCAAAAGGGCAGAUACAACCUUCAGCAUCUGAUUAUAUUUUGGCUUCCUGGAAUAACAUCUUCCAAUGCAGGAAAAAGAUUUUUAGUCUUAGGUUUCAGUACUAGAUGCAAAAUGGUACAAAAUUUUUUUCAGUGGUGCAUGUGA